CAGUCGCCGCGGUAAUACGAAGGGUGCAAGCGUUAAUCGGAAUUACUGGGCGUAAAGCGUGCGUAGGCGGUGAGUUAAGUCUGCUGUGAAAUCCCCGAGCUCAACCUGGGAAUGGCAGUGGAUACUGGCUCGCUAGAGUGUGUCAGAGGAUGGUGGAAUUCCCGGUGUAGCGGUGAAAUGCGUAGAGAUCGGGAGGAACAUCAGUGGCGAAGGCGGCCAUCUGGGACAACACUGACGCUGAGGCACGAAAGCGUGGGGAGCAAACAGGAUUAGAUACCCCCGUAGUCCCUGUCUCUUAUAC
This 301-nucleotide ribosomal RNA is filed under the name uncultured bacterium. RNAcentral's name for it is "partial 16S ribosomal RNA". It matches the Rfam family "Bacterial small subunit ribosomal RNA", at positions 509 to 807 of the family's 1533-position model. The record is from RNAcentral.